Molecule: long non-coding RNA, 1512 nt
Filed under: Mus spicilegus (steppe mouse)
Lineage: Eukaryota; Metazoa; Chordata; Mammalia; Rodentia; Muridae
Description: lncRNA (ENSMSIG00000018608.1)
Source: RNAcentral
GUUUAGAAGGGCGUUAAUCACAAAGGGGACAUGCAAGCUAGGGGAAGCUGGUAAUUGAGCGUGCUGGUGAGGAGAAAGCUGGGCGCCUGAUGUCUCAGGGCCACUAGACCUGCGGCUCACAUGCUUUCCUGGGGCCAGGGACAGUGAGUGAUGGAAGGACAGGGAGAGAGGAGCCACGAUGGGCCUGUGAUAGAAGGAGCCUCUGUCUCCCUGCUGUUGGAGGAACUGGUGUAGGGUCCAGGGUGAGUUCUCUGUCUUCUUGCCUGGCCUGGAUGUCGCUGCUCCUGCUCGCUGAGGCAUGAGGUAGGGGUGUCUUAGAGCAAGGCUUAUGUUAAUUUAGUGAGCACGAGUGCGUGUAUGUGUGUGUGUGUUUGGUGCACGAGCGUGUAUGUGCCAUGUCGCACGAGAGGAGGUUAGAAAUAACUUUUGGAAGUUGUUUUUCUGCUUGCACCGUGUGGGAUACAAGAACUGAACUCUGGUCUGCAGGCUUGGUAGCAAGUGCCUUUAUUGCCUGAGCCAUCUCAGUAGCCCUGGGUUCUUAUUUUUAACAAUGCUCACAGGUUCUGUCACCCACACAGCCACUUCUUUUCCUCUUUUUCAUGGAAGCCGCUGGAGGCUGUGGUUCCUGGGAGCUCAAGUGCAGCCCCAUGGUGAAAUUCAUCUAGCAAGCACUACUGUGAGGUUCUAUCUGGCAAAGGGACACGUGGAGAUGGGGACCAAGAGGAGGAGGCAUCCUGGACGUCACCAGGUGCCCCAUCCACGGCGAGGGAAGCCUGGACCCGGCUCUGCUGUCACUCAGAACAGGUCGGGGACUCCGGUGACCACGUCCCUGCCCGCUGCAUGCUUGGAAAGCACUGCCUUUGCCAGAAGCCGAGGCGAGAAGGCUCCCAAAGCAGACACCGGACCCCCGAGUAGCUCUGGUCUCCACGGGCCACCCCGGGAGCUGUAGGGCGAGGCCCACCCGCGCGCCGUACUGCGCAUGCGUCAGUCGGCUGAGCAGGAGGCCGCCCGCGCAGCCUCGCUCCCGCCCGGUCGCCGUGGCAACGGGCUCGCGGGGGGAGGGGCCGCGCCGCGGCGGCUGCUAUUUCUGCUGCUUCCUGUUCCUUGCGGCCACGUCGCCAUGGCAACGGAGUUACUCAGCUCGGCCGCCUCUCGGCUCGGCUGGCGCGCGUGACCCCGGCCGCUCGCGCCCCCUCGUCCCCCUCCCGCACCCUCCCCGGUGCCCGCGGCCGGCAGGGAGGCAGAUUGAUGGGCGACGCUUAUUAAAACACAGUGGAAGCGUUUCCGUUUUUAUGACGCUGACGAGGCAGCGUUAUUUACUGUUAUUGUUCGCCCUGGCCGCCCGGGAGCUCACCUUCGGCCAGUCCCAGGACGGCGCGUGGCACCCCGGGGUCCCACCUAUUCUCAGAGCCCCUUCUCCCCGCGACAGCCGUGGAGAGGGGCCGCACAGGCCCGGGGGCUCAUGCUUGAAGGAGAAAAAGGCGACAAAAAUAAAUAAAUAAAAGAGAAGCA